This 301-nucleotide long non-coding RNA is filed under the name Homo sapiens (human). RNAcentral describes it as "HSALNT0294546". The record is from RNAcentral. Lineage: Eukaryota; Metazoa; Chordata; Mammalia; Primates; Hominidae.
GUUCAGCAAUUUAGCACGUCCCAGGCUGCUGGAAACUAACAUCUUCCUGAAGAGGAUGUCCUUCACCCUUCUCCCUCCAGGCACGACAAGUUUUCAAGACCAAGAGAGUAGAGAAGUCAGAUCAAGUGGAGCUUCCAGGAAGUGUGCAGAGUUGAGGUGGAAAGAGAAAAGACUGGAAAAAGGGACUCCGAUGCCGGUUGUCUAAACAGAGGGAGUAUUUGCCUCCUGGACAUUGAGUAAAUCAAUGUGUGAGCAUUUUAAAAGGUUAAAAGGGGCCACCCUAAAGAAGAAACCCCUCCAC